This 587-nucleotide long non-coding RNA is filed under the name Physcomitrium patens. RNAcentral's name for it is "long non-coding RNA (PPAT_LNC001383)". Lineage: Eukaryota; Viridiplantae; Streptophyta; Bryopsida; Funariales; Funariaceae. The record is from RNAcentral.
GUUGAAUUAAAAGAGUUAUUAGAUUUUGAAUUCAGUACAUGCAAUCUAAGGGUAGUAAGUAACCCGAUUUGCUAGUGGUUGUCUCUUGAGCUAUAUCUUAAGCAAUUUGACAAGGUUUUGGCUCAAAACUUCAAGAAAUUUGUAAUUUCAUGUUAAUAAACUUUGUGCAUAAGUUUUAUGACAUUUAAGUAUUGGGUUCUUGAGAUAUUAAGAAAAUAGUGUUUGGGUGCUUGUAAAUUAGGGUUUGGAGCAUCUACUAGGGUUUCUUAGAUUCCAAAAGAUCGGAGGUGAAUUUGCGGUUGAUUCUUUUUGUGGUAAAAUUAAAGGGUGAAUUCUAUGUAUUUUGUAAAUUUAAAACAAAUUGAACGGUUAGAUCAAGAGUUAUGAUUUUCUAAAGUUCGGGACAAGAAAACCCUUUGCGGAAAAAAUAUGUUUUGAAGGGGUUUUGUUAUAUUUUGAGUUUUAUGCAAAAUAAAGGAGUUUUGGGAGGCUAAAACAAGAUUCAUAUAAAGGUUUAAACUACACUCUCUAUAUCUAGAUAUCCAGUGUAUUCCUAGAUAGCAAAUCAUGCCAUAUGACAAUGGGAG